CCAAACUGCAGCAGGCUCUCUAGACUGUGAGGGAAGGACUGAAACGACUAGUUGCAUCAGGACAUAAGCUGCUGGAGGAUGAUGACUCCUGGAUUAUCAGAGUCAGGAAUGCAGAAGGAAGCUCAGGUGCAGAAAGUGCAGAAGUUGGAGGCUCCACAGUUUCCUUCACUAGGUGCUCCUCAUUACUCUGACUCCAGUUCAGUCUUCACUGAUGAGUACAGCUACCGAUCGCUAAGCCACUGCCUUCGCUCCAACAUUUUUCCUGGGCCUCCUGUAGAGUGGUCCACUCUGGCUAAAGACUCCUACAUCAGUCACAGUCUGCAGUCUCUGACCCCUGAUCCACAGCACUGGUACGGCCGCAGAACUGAUGACAUGAGUGAGUGCCAUCAUGUCCAUCCAGUAGCCCUGUUUUCUGUGUUAAAGUGUGAAAGAACCAUAAAGAGCAUUAGAAACCUAACGGUCCAUCCUCUCUCCCUGGUUCCUCUGCAGUGAGAUGGACUGAGAGGAACAUCAUCAACCAGAAGCUGCAGAAAGCUCUGAAGGAACUGGAGCAGAAGAAUGUGGCUAAAUGAUUCAGCAAUUUCUAACCCCACACACACACAAACACACCUCUGCAUAUAGAUAUCUGUACGACAUACUUUGAUUGACCACAUGCAGUCACACCUCCAAUAAAACUACAGUGUAAAAUAAUUCUAAUGCCGUU
This 703-nucleotide long non-coding RNA is filed under the name Astyanax mexicanus (Mexican tetra). Its description in RNAcentral is "lncRNA (ENSAMXG00005004292.1)". Lineage: Eukaryota; Metazoa; Chordata; Actinopteri; Characiformes; Acestrorhamphidae. The record is from RNAcentral.